GACGAACCGUGCGAACGUUGUCCGGAAUCACUGGGCUUAAAGGGCGCGUAGGCGGGCUCGCCAGUCUGCGGUGAAAGCCCCCAGCUUAACUGGGGAAGUGCCGUGGAUACUGCGAGUCUCGAGGAGGGUAGGGGCAUCUGGAACGGUCGGUGGAGCGGUGAAAUGCGUUGAUAUCGACCGGAACUCCGGUGGCGAAGGCGAGGUGCUGGACCCUUUCUGACGCUGAUGCGCGAAAGCCAGGGGAGCAAACGGG
Molecule: ribosomal RNA, 253 nt
Filed under: uncultured bacterium
Lineage: Bacteria
Description: partial 16S ribosomal RNA
Rfam family: Bacterial small subunit ribosomal RNA
Source: RNAcentral